GCUGCACAUCGUUAGAGCAUGGGGCUGAGGCCGCUGGCUGGCCGAUGAACUCACAGGGCAGGCUACAGGAGGGGCGAGACUUUUGCUAACCCCACAAGGGGCCUCAGGCCCAAUGAGUGGAGUUUGACAGCAAUUCUUGCUACAAGU
Molecule: small nucleolar RNA, 147 nt
Organism: Neofelis nebulosa (Clouded leopard)
Lineage: Eukaryota; Metazoa; Chordata; Mammalia; Carnivora; Felidae
Source: RefSeq, a predicted model, not a curated record